GCCGUGCAAUAUGCGACUUGUAUUUGACAAGAGAGCAGAGAGAAACCUAUAACCUAUAACCUAAAUUUUGAUUACAUCAAGUUCCCAAAUAUUAAAGAAAAAAGCACGAGCUUGAACCAUCCAAAAGAAGGAAAGUAAAACAUUACAAAAGAGUACCAGUACCAGUACUAAAGAGAGGAGCAAACUAAGUACUUGGUGUGAGGAAAGUACACGUUUAUUAUUAGAUAAAUAUGAGCAAUAUUUACCUGUAGUUGGGCCAAUGAAACAAUUUAAAUGUAAAAAAUCAAUGUGGAUACAAAUAUCAAAUGAUAUCGCAACAGAAUUAAAUAUUGUACAAAGCAGUGUGCAAUGUGAAAAUCGUUAUAAAACUAUUUUAAAACGUAAAAUGCAAUCUGUUAGAGGCAAUCAACAAUCAGGUGCAAAACGAACAAAAGUGGAAUUCGAAGAUGAAUUAAACAAGAUAAAGGCUAUUUAUUGAUGAUAGUGUAGAACCUGAGAUAUUGCAAAGUUCAGGAAAACUCAUUGAAAAACAUAAAAAAAUAAUGAAUAAAGAAAAUACAAUGAAUUGUAGAGUCGAGAAGACAACAAAAAAAAGUCUAUAAGUGAAAACAAAGUUACAAGUAUUUCACUUUUGUUCGUUUUGCAUGCAUUCCUGAUUGUUGAAAGUUUAAGUAGUUACAAGUCGUUUCUUCUCUAUAGUUUAAGUAGUUACAAGUCGUUUAUUGCACAUUCAAAAUGAUAAAGAGGAAAAAAAAGAAAAGAGACAUAAAGAAAAACUAGAAAUACUACGUAACUUUAUGACAAUCUUUUCAAAAAGCAAUGAUACGAUUGAUUCAGAUGGUGAAUAGAAACAGAGUGUACUUUUCUUACUUGACUUUGAAAUGCUUUAAUUAUGUCUAAAAAUUUAAGUAGAUACAAAUUCUAAAACUUUUAUUAUAGUUUAAAAUACUCCACUUUUGUUUGUUUCUUCUCCAAAGUUACAAGUAUUGUUUUGUUUGUUUUGCAUGCAUUCCUGAUUGUUGAAAGUUUAAGUAGUUACAAGUCGUAGUUUAAAUAACACAAAAGACUUAUUAUAUGUUACUUAAAUCACAUUAUGUGAUAUAAAGAGUGCUUAUAUAUAUAUAUGCAAUUGUUAUAUAAUGUAAAAAAUAAUUUAUG
Molecule: long non-coding RNA, 1158 nt
Organism: Nylanderia fulva
Lineage: Eukaryota; Metazoa; Arthropoda; Insecta; Hymenoptera; Formicidae
Source: RefSeq, a predicted model, not a curated record